CCUACGGGGGGCUGCAGUGAGGAAUAUUGGUCAAUGGCCGGAAGGCUGAACCAGCCAAGCCGCGUGAAGGACGAAGGUGCCAAGCAUUGUAAACUUCUUUUGUCAAGGGACAAAAUCAGGCUCGAGAGCCUGACCGAGGGUACUUGAAGAAAAAGCAUCGGCUAACUCCGUGCCAGCAGCCGCGGUAAUACGGAGGAUGCGAGCGUUAUCCGGAUUUAUUGGGUUUAAAGGGUGCGUAGGCGGACUGUUAAGUCAGCGGUAAAAGCCCGGGGCUCAACCCCGGCGAGCCGUUGAAACUGGCUGUCGUGAGAUGGCGAGAGGUAUGCGGAAUGCGCAGUGUAGCGGUGAAAUGCUUAGAUAGUGCGCAGAACUCCGAUUGCGAAGGCAGCAUACCGGCGGCGAUCUGACGCUGAGGCACGAAAGCGUGGGGAUCGAACAGGAUUAGAUACCCUUGUAGUC
This 459-nucleotide ribosomal RNA is filed under the name uncultured bacterium. RNAcentral describes it as "partial 16S ribosomal RNA". It matches the Rfam family "Bacterial small subunit ribosomal RNA", at positions 338 to 795 of the family's 1533-position model. The record is from RNAcentral.